RNAcentral lists this ribosomal RNA (253 nucleotides) under uncultured bacterium. RNAcentral describes it as "partial 16S ribosomal RNA". It matches the Rfam family "Bacterial small subunit ribosomal RNA", at positions 524 to 776 of the family's 1533-position model. The record is from RNAcentral.
UACGGGGGAUGCGAGCGUUGUCCGGAUUCACUGGGCGUAAAGGGCGCGUAGGCGGCCCGGUCAGUCGGCGCUCUAAGUGCGGGGCUCAACCCCGUGAUGGCGCCGGGACGGCCGGGCUGGGGCGCGGCAGAGGGAGACGGAAUGCCGGGUGUAGUGGUGAAAUGCGUAGAGAUCCGGCGGAACACCGGUGGCGAAGGCGGUCUCCUGGGCCGAGGGCCGACGCUGAGGCGCGAAAGCCAGGGGAGCAAACGGG